RNAcentral lists this non-coding RNA (62 nucleotides) under Altererythrobacter sp. RNAcentral describes it as "Fluoride sequence". It matches the Rfam family "Fluoride riboswitch aptamer (crcB RNA motif)". Lineage: Bacteria; Pseudomonadati; Pseudomonadota; Alphaproteobacteria; Sphingomonadales; Erythrobacteraceae. The record is from RNAcentral.
GCCCCCGCAGGGAAUGGGGUCUCCCUUGUAACCGCGAUCGUGCUGAUGACUCCUGCUUUAUC